AAAGUCGUAACAAGGUUUCCGUAGGUGAACCUGCGGAAGGAUCAUUAAAGAGUUUUAAAUGGGGUUGGUCUAUAGCACUGGAGGAGGGUAAGGUUUGAAGGCCAUAAUGGUAAAAGGUAAAGGCCUUUUACUUAGCCUAAAAUCCCCCCUAUACCAUGCUAUAUAUAAAACCAUAACCUAUGCGUAUGUUGUGUUUGACUGUGUAAUAAGUGACUAAGAGACAGAGACAACUUUUAACAAUGGAUCUCUUGGCUCUC
RNAcentral lists this unclassified non-coding RNA (257 nucleotides) under Basidiomycota sp. Its description in RNAcentral is "partial contains small subunit ribosomal RNA, internal transcribed spacer 1, and 5.8S ribosomal RNA". The stretch from base 1 to 47 matches the Rfam family "Eukaryotic small subunit ribosomal RNA", at positions 1785 to 1831 of the family's 1831-position model. The record is from RNAcentral. Lineage: Eukaryota; Fungi; Basidiomycota.